GGGGAUUUAGCUCAGUGGUAGAGCGCUUGCCUAGCAAGUACAAGGCCCUGGGUUCGUUCCCCAGCUCCG
Molecule: transfer RNA, 69 nt
Filed under: Rattus norvegicus (Norway rat)
Lineage: Eukaryota; Metazoa; Chordata; Mammalia; Rodentia; Muridae
Rfam family: tRNA
About the family: Transfer RNA (tRNA) molecules are approximately 80 nucleotides in length. Their secondary structure includes four short double-helical elements and three loops (D, anti-codon, and T loops). Further hydrogen bonds mediate the characteristic L-shaped molecular structure. tRNAs have two regions of fundamental functional importance: the anti-codon, which is responsible for specific mRNA codon recognition, and the 3' end, to which the tRNAs corresponding amino acid is attached (by aminoacyl-tRNA synthetases). tRNAs cope with the degeneracy of the genetic code in two manners: having more than one tRNA (with a specific anti-codon) for a particular amino acid; and 'wobble' base-pairing, i.e. permitting non-standard base-pairing at the 3rd anti-codon position.
Source: Rfam by way of RNAcentral